UAGGGGAGAGCGUGAAUGCAGUCCCCCACUACCACAAAUUAUGCAGUCAAGUUUCCCUCAUUUGGGGAAAUCUCAGGGGACAGCAUAUCCAGAGUACAAUGGGUAAGUCUCACCCUGGAAAAACCACCUUCGUGAUCAUGGUAUCUCCCCUGCCAGGUAAGUAU
This 164-nucleotide small nuclear RNA is filed under the name Cricetulus griseus (Chinese hamster). RNAcentral describes it as "U1 spliceosomal RNA". The record is from RNAcentral. Lineage: Eukaryota; Metazoa; Chordata; Mammalia; Rodentia; Cricetidae.